RNAcentral lists this transfer RNA (73 nucleotides) under bacterium. RNAcentral describes it as "tRNA-Thr". It matches the Rfam family "tRNA". From Rfam's summary of the family: Transfer RNA (tRNA) molecules are approximately 80 nucleotides in length. Their secondary structure includes four short double-helical elements and three loops (D, anti-codon, and T loops). RNAcentral also lists the same sequence under 3 other names. The record is from RNAcentral.
GCUGGUGUAGCUCAGCCGGUAGAGCGGCGCACUCGUAAUGCGCAGGUCAGCGGUUCGAUCCCGCUCACCAGCU